UACGUAGGGCGCAAGCGUUGUCCGGAAUUAUUGGGCGUAAAGAGCUCGUAGGCGGUUUGUCGCGUCUGCUGUGAAAACCUAAGGCUCAACCUUGGGCUUGCAGUGGGUACGGGCAGACUAGAGUGCGGUAGGGGUGACUGGAAUUCCUGGUGUAGCGGUGAAAUGCGCAGAUAUCGGGAAGAACACCCGUGGCGAAGGCGGCUCUCUGGGACGGUACUGACGCGUGAGACGCGAAAGCGUGGGGAGCGAACAGG
This 254-nucleotide ribosomal RNA is filed under the name uncultured bacterium. RNAcentral's name for it is "partial 16S ribosomal RNA". It matches the Rfam family "Bacterial small subunit ribosomal RNA", at positions 524 to 776 of the family's 1533-position model. The record is from RNAcentral.